CCUACGGGAGGCAGCAGUGGGGAAUAUUGCACAAUGGGGGGAACUCUGAUGCAGCGACGCCGCGUGAGUGAAGAAGUAUUUCGGUAUGUAAAGCUCUAUCAGCAGGGAAGAAAAUGACGGUACCUGACUACGCAGCCCAGGUUAACUACGUGCCAGCAGCCGCGGUAAUACGUAGGGGGCAAGCGUUAUCCGGAUUUACUGGGUGUAAAGGGAGCGUUGACGGUUAUGCAAGUCUGAAGGGAAAGCCCAAGGCUCAACCAUGGGACUGCUUUGGAAACUGUAAAACUUGAGUGCAGGAGAGGUAAGCGGAAUUCCUAGUGUAGCGGUGAAAUGCGUAGAUAUUAGGAGGAACACCAGUGGCGAAGGCGGCUUACUGGACUGUAACUGACGUUGAGGCUCGAAGGCGUGGGGAGCAAACAGGAUUAGAUACCCCAGUAGUC
This 440-nucleotide ribosomal RNA is filed under the name uncultured bacterium. RNAcentral's name for it is "partial 16S ribosomal RNA". It matches the Rfam family "Bacterial small subunit ribosomal RNA", at positions 338 to 795 of the family's 1533-position model. The record is from RNAcentral.